ACGCACGCUGGCGGCGUGCUUAACACAUGCAAGUCGAACGGAAAGGCCCUGCUUUUGUGGGGUGCUCGAGUGGCGAACGGGUGAGUAACACGUGAGUAACCUGCCCUUGACUUUGGGAUAACUUCAGGAAACUGGGGCUAAUACCGGAUAGGAGCUCCUGCUGCAUGGUGGGGGUUGGAAAGUUUCGGCGGUUGGGGAUGGACUCGCGGCUUAUCAGCUUGUUGGUGGGGUAGUGGCUUACCAGGGCUUUGACGGGUAGCCGGCCUGAGAGGGUGACCGGCCACAUUGGGACUGAGAUACGGCCCAGACUCCUACGGGAGGCAGCAGUGGGGAAUAUUGCACAAUGGGCGGAAGCCUGAUGCAGCAACGCCGCGUGCGGGAUGACGGCCUUCGGGUUGUAAACCGCUUUCGCCUGUGACGAAGCGUGAGUGACGGUAAUGGGUAAAGAAGCACCGGCUAACUACGUG
RNAcentral lists this ribosomal RNA (467 nucleotides) under uncultured bacterium. Its description in RNAcentral is "partial 16S ribosomal RNA". It matches the Rfam family "Bacterial small subunit ribosomal RNA", at positions 29 to 507 of the family's 1533-position model. The record is from RNAcentral.